AGUAGAAUAAGCUAAUUUAAGCUAUUGGGUUCAUACCCCAAACAUGAGAACUUCUCUUCUACU
Molecule: transfer RNA, 63 nt
Filed under: Lamellibrachia columna
Lineage: Eukaryota; Metazoa; Annelida; Polychaeta; Sabellida; Siboglinidae
Description: tRNA-Met
Source: RNAcentral